RNAcentral lists this ribosomal RNA (465 nucleotides) under uncultured bacterium. RNAcentral describes it as "partial 16S ribosomal RNA". It matches the Rfam family "Bacterial small subunit ribosomal RNA", at positions 339 to 795 of the family's 1533-position model. The record is from RNAcentral.
CUACGGGGGGCUGCAGUGAGGAAUAUUGCGCAAUGGGGGAAACCCUGACGCAGCGACGCCGCGUGGAUGAUGAAGGCCUUCGGGUCGUAAAAUCCUGUCAGAAGGAAAGAAGUAUGUGGUAGCUAAUAUCUGCCAUAUUUGACGGUACCUUCAAAGGAAGCACCGGCUAACUCCGUGCCAGCAGCCGCGGUAAUACGGAGGGUGCAAGCGUUGUUCGGAAUUACUGGGCGUAAAGCGCGCGUAGGCGGCUGUUUAAGUCAGAUGUGAAAGCCCAUGGCUUAACCAUGGACGUGCAUUUGAUGCUGGGCAGCUUGAGUACUGGAGGGGGUGGUGGAAUUCCCGGUGUAGAGGUGAAAUUCGUAGAUAUCGGGAGGAAUACCGGUGGCGAAGGCGACCACCUGGCCAGAUACUGACGCUGAGGUGCGAAAGCGUGGGGAGCAAACAGGAUUAGAUACCCGCGUAGUC